ACAAUUCCGACGAAGAGGCAUAGUAAUUAAGGUAGCAGAUAGAAAGAGAGGAGAGGCCGUGGCUGAGAGCCCUCCAUAUUUGUCUUAAUGAAUGAACACCUCAGAGGAGUUUUUCUGAACAUCAUUGACUAGUAGGAAAAGACGUAUACAGGCGUUAACUGUACAAAAGUGGAAGCAGCGUUUUGCUUCAAUUUAGGGUGGCACCACGGGUUUAACUCUCGUCCCUGAU
Molecule: non-coding RNA, 229 nt
Filed under: Halalkalibacter krulwichiae
Lineage: Bacteria; Bacillati; Bacillota; Bacilli; Caryophanales; Bacillaceae
Description: Bacillus krulwichiae T-box sequence
Rfam family: T-box leader
About the family: Uncharged tRNA acts as the effector for transcription antitermination of genes in the T-box leader family.
Source: RNAcentral